This 344-nucleotide ribosomal RNA is filed under the name uncultured bacterium. RNAcentral's name for it is "bacterial SSU rRNA". It matches the Rfam family "Bacterial small subunit ribosomal RNA", at positions 442 to 802 of the family's 1533-position model. The record is from RNAcentral.
GGGAAGAGCAAGGACGGUACCCGAGGAAUAAGCCUCGGCUAACUACGUGCCAGCAGCCGCGGUAACACGUAGGAGGCGAGCGUUAUUCGGAUUUAUUGGGCGUAAAGGGCGUGCAGGCGGCCUGGAAAGUCCUCUGUGAAAUCUCCCGACUCAAUCGGGAGGGGUCAGAGGAAACUUCCAGGCUUGAGGACAGCAGAGGGAGGUGGAAUUCCCGGUGUAGCGGUGAAAUGCGUAGAUACCGGGAGGAACACCGGUGGCGAAGGCGGCCUCCUGGGCUGUUCCUGACGCUGAGGCGCGAAAGCGCGGGGAGCAAACAGGAUUAGAUACCCCGGUAGUCCAAGCCG